Molecule: ribosomal RNA, 360 nt
Filed under: uncultured bacterium
Lineage: Bacteria
Description: bacterial SSU rRNA
Rfam family: Bacterial small subunit ribosomal RNA
Source: RNAcentral
AACGAACGCUGGCGGCAUGCCUAACACAUGCAAGUCGAACGAGACCUUCGGGUCUAGUGGCGCACGGGUGCGUAACGCGUGGGAAUCUGCCCUUGGGUUCGGAAUAACAGUUAGAAAUGACUGCUAAUACCGGAUAAUGUCUUCGGACCAAAGAUUUAUCGCCCAGGGAUGAGCCCGCGUAGGAUUAGCUAGUUGGUGAGGUAAAGGCUCACCAAGGCGACGAUCCUUAGCUGGUCUGAGAGGAUGAUCAGCCACACUGGGACUGAGACACGGCCCAGACUCCUACGGGAGGCAGCAGUGGGGAAUAUUGCGCAAUGGGCGAAAGCCUGACGCAGCGACGCCGCGUGGGUGAUGAAGGCC